GCCUGGGUGGCGAAACUGGUAGACGCAAGGGACUUAAAAUCCCUCGAGUGAAUAACUCGUGCCGGUUCGAUUCCGGCCCCGGGUACCA
Molecule: transfer RNA, 88 nt
Filed under: SAR324 cluster bacterium
Lineage: Bacteria; Deltaproteobacteria
Description: tRNA-Leu
Rfam family: tRNA
About the family: Transfer RNA (tRNA) molecules are approximately 80 nucleotides in length. Their secondary structure includes four short double-helical elements and three loops (D, anti-codon, and T loops).
Source: RNAcentral